UACGUAGGGGGGCAAGCGUUGUCCGGAUUCAUUGGGCGUAAAGAGCGUGUAGGCGGCCAGGUAGGUCGGUUGUGAAAACUGGAGGCUCAACCUUCAGACGUCGACCGAAACCAUCUGGCUAGAGUCCGGGAGAGGAGAGUGGAAUUCCUGGUGUAGCGGUGAAAUGCGCAGAUAUCAGGAGAACACCCGGUGGCGAAAGGCGGGUCUCUCGG
Molecule: ribosomal RNA, 212 nt
Filed under: uncultured bacterium
Lineage: Bacteria
Description: partial 16S ribosomal RNA
Rfam family: Bacterial small subunit ribosomal RNA
Source: RNAcentral